CCAAUAGCGUAUAUUAAAGUUGUUGCAGUUAAAAAGCUCGUAGUUGAAUUUCGGGAUUGACACAUCGGUCGUGCCUUAAGGGGUAUGAACUGGUGUAGUCAAUUUCUCACCUUCUGGAGAACCGCGAUGCCCUUAAUUGGGUGUCGCGGGGAACCAGGACCUUUACUUUGAAAAAAUUAGAGUGUUUAAAGCAGGCAUUUUGCUUGAAUACAUUAGCAUGGAAUAAUAAAAUAGGACGGCAUGAUUCUAUUUUGUUGGUUUCUAGGAUCACCGUAAUGAUUAAUAGGGAUAGUUGGGGGCACUAGUAUUCAAUUGUCAGAGGUGAAAUUCUUGGAUUUAUUGAAGACUAACUACUGCGAAAGCAUUUGCCAAGGAUGUUUUCAUUAAUCAAGAACGAAAGUUAGGGGAUCGAAGACGAUCAGAUACCGUCGUAGUCUUAACCAUAAACUAUGCCGACUAGGAAUCAGACGAUGUUAAUUUUUUAAUGACUCGUUUGGCACCUUACG
Molecule: ribosomal RNA, 506 nt
Filed under: uncultured Glomeromycotina
Lineage: Eukaryota; Fungi; Glomeromycota
Description: partial small subunit ribosomal RNA
Rfam family: Eukaryotic small subunit ribosomal RNA
Source: RNAcentral